RNAcentral lists this ribosomal RNA (380 nucleotides) under uncultured eukaryote. Its description in RNAcentral is "partial 18S ribosomal RNA". It matches the Rfam family "Eukaryotic small subunit ribosomal RNA", at positions 592 to 976 of the family's 1831-position model. The record is from RNAcentral.
CAAUAGCGUAUAUUAAAGUUGUUGCGGUUAAAAAGCUCGUAGUUGGAGUUCUGCCAGGUGCCGCCUGUCCGCCCCAGUGGUGAGUACGUGGCGCGCAUUUGGCCCUUUCAAGGGGAGCGUAUCUGCACUUUAUUGUGUGGUGCGGGAUCCUUGACUUUUACUUUGAGGAAAUAGGAGUGUUCCAAGCAGGCUCUCGUCGUGCACAGCUCAGCAUGGAAUAAUAGCAUUGGACCUCGAUUCUAAGCUGUUGGUUGCCAGAAGCGAGGUAAUGAUGAAGAGGGAUAGUUGGGGGCAUUCGUAUUUAACUGUCAGAGGUGAAAUUCUUGGAUUUAUUGAAGACUAACUAAUGCGAAAGCAUUUGCCAAGGAUGUUUUCAUUAA